AUUGCAGGCUGCAACCCGCCCUGUAUGAAGUUGGAAUCGCUAGUAAUCGCGGANCAGCAUGCCGCGGUGAAUACGUUCCCGGGCCUUGUACACACCGCCCGUCACACCAUGAGAGUCGGGAACACCCGAAGUCCGUAGCCUAACCGCAAGGAGGGCGCGGCCGAAGGUGGGUUCGAUAAUUGGGGUGAAGUCGUAACAAGGUACC
Molecule: ribosomal RNA, 205 nt
Filed under: uncultured bacterium
Lineage: Bacteria
Description: partial 16S ribosomal RNA
Rfam family: Bacterial small subunit ribosomal RNA
Source: RNAcentral